ACUGUAUGCGUGGAUCCGUGUGUGACUGCAAGGCGCCGGCUCUCGGGCCGCGUUUGUGCCUGGAGCAGAGAAACUGCGCGGGAUGCAGAAAGCCCCAAGCCCUGCUGGAGCUGGGCGCCCGCUGUCCCUUCCCUGGCAGUCCUCUUCCUCGGGCGCCGCGGGGCUCCUCCAGGGAGACUGCGGAAGGGGAGGAGGCGAAGCGAAAACGGAGGGCAGCCGUAGUAAUAGCGCGUAGUAGUUCGGGGGUAUGUGGAGAAGGUGCUGGAAUUUAACUGUGCCUCCGCCUGCCAGUGCGAGCCUGCAGAGAGAGAGGGAGGGGACGGGGGACGGGCUCCGAGUGGCACCAAAGCUGUUUGUGGCACAGUGUGGACUGUGGAAAAAACGGGCAUUGUCGUGCCGGCUGAAACUUUUUCUCCCCCUUCCCUAAGGCUGUCAUUAUAAAUCUGCCCCCUAUUCCAGGUAAAAAAAUAAAAAAUAGAAAAGGGAGGCGGGCACAAAGAACGUUCCUGCCAAAUCUGUCUCUUCCCUGAAGGACUGCAAGCUUCCAAAUGCCAACGAGGGAGAAACAGCUGAGAGGCUGAACGCCUUAUAAAUAAGUAAACCCACCCUAACCUCUCUGUUUACUUCGUGGACUAGGUACAGCACUAUAACCUUCCCUCACCUGCCAUCUUCGCUAAAAUAUAUACAAAAAUAUGGAAAAACAAACCCUGGG
RNAcentral lists this long non-coding RNA (712 nucleotides) under Homo sapiens (human). RNAcentral describes it as "non-protein coding lnc-PUM3-10:2". Lineage: Eukaryota; Metazoa; Chordata; Mammalia; Primates; Hominidae. The record is from RNAcentral.